This 253-nucleotide ribosomal RNA is filed under the name uncultured bacterium. RNAcentral's name for it is "partial 16S ribosomal RNA". It matches the Rfam family "Bacterial small subunit ribosomal RNA", at positions 524 to 776 of the family's 1533-position model. The record is from RNAcentral.
UACGAAGGGGGCUAGCGUUGCUCGGAAUCACUGGGCGUAAAGCGCACGUAGGCGGAUUGUUAAGUCAGGGGUGAAAUCCUGGAGCUCAACUCCAGAACUGCCUUUGAUACUGGCGAUCUUGAGUCCGGGAGAGGUGAGUGGAACUGCGAGUGUAGAGGUGAAAUGCGUAGAUAUCUGGAGGAACACCGGUGGCGAAGGCGGCAUCCUGGACCGGUAUUGACGCUGAGGCGCGAAAGCCAGGGGAGCAAACGGG